UGGCUUCUGUAACAAAUACCCUCAACUCUGAUCUUCAUGCAUUCAUACGUGUUCAUUCUUGGCUAGAGUCCCUCAACAUUUAAUAAGCAUCUGUUUUGUUCUAGGCAUCAUCCUGAGCAUAGGGAAAUACAGCACUGAAGAAACACGGUUCUAUUAUUUGCAACUGAUCACAAGUUAUUAGGGAAGAUAGACAAGAAAACUAACAAGUUUGAAACAGCCACUCCACUGACAGCAAAAGAAGAAACAGAUUUAAUUUGAAUUUUGUAUAAUUCAAGACUGAUGACCCAACAGAAUAUUCAGGGCAUGCCCUCCUUUCAACAUGAAUAUCUUUUAGGUCCAAGGGAAGAGAGAACAGAAUCACAAAAGGGCACUGGGAGCCUACUGUAAUCGUCCAAGGUGGAGAGGGUGGAAUUAACAUUUGCAUAGUAAUCAGGCUGAUGGCAUAAUAUGGGAGUCUAAGGAGGAUGGGCAAACUCUGCUGGGAACCCUCUGCCCUAUCGUAUCUGGGUGACAGACGAAAAUACACAGAAGACAAACUAGGACAACAAAUGAGCAUCUGCUGUACCGUCUGGGAAAUGCUGUAGUGGAUGGGAGUACAAAAUCACUAAGGCCCGCCUUCAGGCUACCAUGAAUCUUUCAGCUGUCAGAGCCUCUAAGCUCAGAGGUUCAAAACAUGGCCCGUGGCUUCAGACAGACCUGGAUGAGAAUCUUGGCUCUGCCACUUAUUAGCUUACGUAAGCUCUAAGACUUGGGGUGCCCAUCUGUAAAUUGGAAGAAUCAUCAAAUCUGGUUUUCAGCAGUGCUGUGAACAUUAAAUAAAAUGACACACAUAAAACGUCUAGUGAAACGCCUGUCCUAAAAAGGACUGAAAAAAAUAAUAGUUGUUAUUGAUAUUGGUGAACUUGUUCUUCCUGUUCUCAUCUGCAUAAUUUGAAAACAAAAUCUGCACACACAUCCACACACACCACUCUCUCACUCACGUGUACUAACACACAUCAGUCACAUAAUGUUCGUUUGGAUACUUUGGAAGAAUCAGAAAAUUGGGUCAGUUCAUUUUAUGUUUAGAGCUCAUCAUAGUCAUGGAGUUAAAGAAAGGAUGUUGAACCUAAAUAAAAAAAAAUCUUGGUUCUCAUAUAAACUUAAAAAUAAGACUAGAGAUAUGUUUUCAAAAGCAUAAACCUAUGUGGAUAAAGAAAACAAAACAGGAGGCAGCAGUAACCAAAUACUAAAAUACUAAAAGCCAGGAAGCAGACGGACAAGUAGUAAGUGACUCAACAGGACAGAACAACCAAACAAAACAAUGCAAAUGAUUCCAGCAAUAGUGAGGCUGGGAAAUCCCAUAUAAUCAAGCUGAGUUUUCCAUCAUAACCCCAUAAGAGCUCAGAGAUGAUAGCCCCAGUACUUCUGAAUGUGAUAGAACAAUCAGAGCUAGAGGGAGGAGGUGUGGUGGAAAGCCCCACAAGAAGCAAUUUGAUGUUCAGAUUCUUUUUCUCUGUUCCAUGCUUCUGGAUCAUUGCUCUUUUCUCAACUAGACAGAAGACUGAAGGUUUGUCCUCUAGAGAGAAUGAUCAAGAAAUUCUGGACUCAAGAUACCAGGCACUAUUGUGGGCAGAAUCUCCAUUCUGGAAAACAAGUGACUAGAGGUCUACAAAUUAAAUGGGGAAAUCCACAUUAUCCUUCCCUUAGUUUGCUCCCAUGUUUGUGGAUUGGAGGUAUU
This is a long non-coding RNA of Acinonyx jubatus (cheetah), 1717 nucleotides long. RefSeq lists it as uncharacterized. The transcript has 3 exons. The record is from RefSeq and is a predicted model, not a curated record. NCBI's taxonomy places the organism in Eukaryota, Metazoa, Chordata, Mammalia, Carnivora, Felidae.